GGUGAAUUGCUCAGUUGGGUAGAGCAUGGAGCUGAUAAUGCCAAGGCUGCAGGUUCGAUCCCCGCUGCAUAUUCCUGCA
Molecule: non-coding RNA, 79 nt
Organism: Podarcis lilfordi (Lilford's wall lizard)
Lineage: Eukaryota; Metazoa; Chordata; Lepidosauria; Squamata; Lacertidae
Source: the annotation of a GenBank genome assembly